UGAGGAAUAUUGGUCAAUGGACGAGAGUCUGAACCAGCCAAGUAGCGUGAAGGAUGACUGCCCUAUGGGUUGUAAACUUCUUUUAUACGGGAAUAAAGUGAGGCACGUGUGCCUUUUUGUAUGUACCGUAUGAAUAAGGAUCGGCUAACUCCGUGCCAGCAGCCGCGGUAAUACGGAGGAUCCGAGCGUUAUCCGGAUUUAUUGGGUUUAAAGGGAGCGUAGGCGGACGCUUAAGUCAGUUGUGAAAGUUUGCGGCUCAACCGUAAAAUUGCAGUUGAUACUGGGUGUCUUGAGUACAGUAGAGGCAGGCGGAAUUCGUGGUGUAGCGGUGAAAUGCUUAGAUAUCACGAAGAACUCCGAUUGCGAAGGCAGCUUGCUGGACUGUAACUGACGCUGAUGCUCGAAAGUGUGGGUAUCAAACAGGAUUAGAUACCCUGGUAGUCCACACAGUAAACGAUGAAUACUCGCUGUUGGCGAUAUACGGUCAGCGGCCAAGCGAAAGCAUUAAGUAUUCCACCUGGGGAGUACGCCGGCAACGGUGAAACUCAAAGGAAUUGACGGGGGCCCGCACAAGCGGAGGAACAUGUGGUUUAAUUCGAUGAUACGCGAGGAACCUUACCCGGGCUUAAAUUGCAACUGACUGAACCGGAAACGGUUCUUUCCUCGGACAGUUGUGAAGGUGCUGCAUGGUUGUCGUCAGCUCGUGCCGUGAGGUGUCGGCUUAAGUGCCAUAACGAGCGCAACCCUUAUCGAUAGUUACUAGCAGGUCAUGCUGAGGACUCUAUUGAGACUGCCGUCGUAAGAUGUGAGGAAGGUGGGGAUGACGUCAAAUCAGCACGGCCCUUACGUCCGGGGCUACACACGUGUUACAAUGGGGGGUACAGAAGGCAGCUACACGGCGACGUGGUGCUAAUCCCGAAAGCCUCUCUCAGUUCGGAUUGGAGUCUGCAACCCGACUCCAUGAAGCUGGAUUCGCUAGUAAUCGCGCAUCAGCCACGGCGCGGUGAAUACGUUCCC
RNAcentral lists this ribosomal RNA (1017 nucleotides) under uncultured bacterium. RNAcentral describes it as "bacterial SSU rRNA". It matches the Rfam family "Bacterial small subunit ribosomal RNA", at positions 355 to 1375 of the family's 1533-position model. The record is from RNAcentral. RNAcentral also lists the same sequence under 1 other name.